GCCCCCUGGCACUGAGCAAAAUGGCACCUGGUUGGUGGUGUUGUUCUUAGCAGUCAGGGGCAGAGAGGAUGGCAGUCUUUUGCUCAUCCUAGAUUGAUGCCUGGCUUGGUAGCCAAAGCUGUCUUAUGAUUAGGACUCAUAA
Molecule: small nucleolar RNA, 142 nt
Organism: Mastomys coucha (southern multimammate mouse)
Lineage: Eukaryota; Metazoa; Chordata; Mammalia; Rodentia; Muridae
Product: small nucleolar RNA SNORA48
Exons: 1
Source: RefSeq, a predicted model, not a curated record